RNAcentral lists this small nucleolar RNA (184 nucleotides) under Nelumbo nucifera (sacred lotus). RNAcentral describes it as "Plant small nucleolar RNA U3". It matches the Rfam family "Plant small nucleolar RNA U3". Rfam says of the family: Small nucleolar RNAs (snoRNAs) are involved in the processing and modification of rRNA in the nucleolus. The record is from Rfam by way of RNAcentral. Lineage: Eukaryota; Viridiplantae; Streptophyta; Magnoliopsida; Proteales; Nelumbonaceae.
ACGACCUUACUUGAACAGGAUCUGUUCUAUAGGCUCAUACCUCUGUAUCCUUGAGUUCUAAGGAGAUAGGAACCUAAGUCUGGUAGAAGAAUUAUGUAAAAAAAAAAAAAAAACCUUCAAGUCUAAUUUGAAUAUCAUUUUUAACAACAACGAUCAAAGUAGGCCUUUUUUUAUCAGCAAGACA